RNAcentral lists this ribosomal RNA (495 nucleotides) under uncultured bacterium. RNAcentral describes it as "partial 16S ribosomal RNA". It matches the Rfam family "Bacterial small subunit ribosomal RNA", at positions 28 to 507 of the family's 1533-position model. The record is from RNAcentral.
GACGAACGCUGGCGGCGUGCCUAAUACAUGCAAGUAGAACGCUGAAGGAGGAGCUUGCUUCUCUGGAUGAGUUGCGAACGGGUGAGUAACGCGUAGGUAACCUGCCUGGUAGCGGGGGAUAACUAUUGGAAACGAUAGCUAAUACCGCAUAAUAUUGACUAUUGCAUGAUAGUCAGUUGAAAGGUGCAACUGCACCACUACCAGAUGGACCUGCGUUGUAUUAGCUAGUUGGUGGGGUAACGGCUCACCAAGGCGACGAUACAUAGCCGACCUGAGAGGGUGAUCGGCUACACUGGGACUGAGACACGGCCCAGACUCCUACGGGAGGCAGCAGUAGGGAAUCUUCGGCAAUAGACGGAAGUCUGACCGAGCAACGCCGCGUGAGUGAAGAAGGUUUUCGGAUCGUAAAGCUCUGUUGUAAGAGAAGAACGAGUGUGAGAGUGGAAAGCUCACACUGUGACGGUAUCUUACCAGAAAGGGACGGCUAACUACGUG